This 274-nucleotide ribosomal RNA is filed under the name Paenibacillus polymyxa. RNAcentral describes it as "partial 23S ribosomal RNA". It matches the Rfam family "Bacterial large subunit ribosomal RNA", at positions 2208 to 2481 of the family's 2925-position model. Lineage: Bacteria; Bacillati; Bacillota; Bacilli; Caryophanales; Paenibacillaceae. The record is from RNAcentral.
AUCGUAUCUAGGUUCUAACUUGGUACCGUAAUCCGGUACGAGGACAGUGUCAGGUGGGCAGUUUGACUGGGGCGGUCGCCUCCUAAAGAGUAACGGAGGCGCCCCAAGGUUCCCUCAGAAUGGUUGGAAAUCAUUCGAAGAGUGCAAAGGCAGAAGGGAGCUUGACUGCGAGACCUACAAGUCGAGCAGGGACGAAAGUCGGGCUUAGUGAUCCGGUGGUACCGCAUGGAAGGGCCAUCGCUCAACGGAUAAAAGCUACCCUGGGGAUAACAGG